This 774-nucleotide ribosomal RNA is filed under the name uncultured Neocallimastigales. RNAcentral describes it as "partial large subunit ribosomal RNA". It matches the Rfam family "Eukaryotic large subunit ribosomal RNA", at positions 24 to 642 of the family's 3401-position model. The record is from RNAcentral. Lineage: Eukaryota; Fungi; Neocallimastigomycota; Neocallimastigomycetes; Neocallimastigales.
UACGACUACAUAUCAGGCAUAUCAAUAAGCGGAGGAAAAGAAACUAACUAGGAUUCCCUCAGUAACGGCGAGUGAAGCGGGAAGAGCUCAAAUUUGAAAUCUUCAAGGUUUUACCUUGACGAAUUGUAGUUUAAAGAAGUGUCUUCUGUUGGAGUUUCGGUAAAAGUUCUUCGGAAUAGGACAUCAUAGAGGGUGAGAAUCCCGUAUUUGACCAGUUAUUUCCAGCUUUGUGAUACACUUUCAAAGAGUCGGAUUGUUUGGGAAUGCAGUCCAAAAUGGGUGGUAAAUUUCAUCUAAAGCUAAAUAUUGGCGAGAGACCGAUAGCGAACAAGUACCGUGAGGGAAAGAUGAAAAGAACUUUGAAAAGAGAGUUAAACAGUACGUGAAAUUGUCAAAAGGGAAGCGUUUGACACCAGUGUUGUUUUCUACGAAAAUCAAUUUAUGAUGGCUUGAUGCUAAGCUUUAAGACUUUAUCCGCUUGUUGUUUAGUUUUCUUGUCUUUGUGAAUGCACUUUUCGUGGAACAAGUCAACAUCAAUUUCUUUUGCUGUAGAAGGGUAAGAGGAAGGUGGCUUCGGCUUCGGUUGAAGUGUUUAUAGCCUUUUAUCUCUGCAGUCGGAGAGAUUGAGGUCUGCAGCGUAGACUCUUCGGGGCUAGAUACGUCGGUGCUAAGCUAUAGCUUUUCAUAGACAACUUGUUGACUAUGUUUAGUCAUGUGGCUUACCCGCUGGCGCUAUUUUACCUACGCUUAGGAUGUUGACACACGCGCGUGCUC